UAAGCCAGCUGACGACAACACCUCUGGAGCCGCCUUGAUAGCGCACUCCUUCUCUGCUGUAUUGCUUGCGUUGCUUGCUGUGUGCUACUUCGUUUCUCUUCACCACAUCACGAAACCACGUCUCUGCCUCUGUGUUUGUUGCGUGUUUUUUUUUUGUGUGUUUCUUCUGUUUUCCCCUCCUCCCCCCUCCCCGACACACACACACACGCACACCGCACACUGAACUAUUCACGGUUCGCUCCUGCAUAGGAAUAUAUAAGCAUAUAUAUGUUUUGUUUGCGCCUGCGUGCUCUGCUCUGCCGCUUUUCUCCUCUCUCUCUGUGUCCGGCCUGUGGUUCUUGCGCGCGCGUGUGUGUGACUCUCUCUGCGUCUCUUUCUUUGCCUCUCACGUAUUCUCCUCCGAUCCGUUUCAAAGCCUCCCAGCUCAUCUUCGUAUCCGCUCUCGAUGCGGCGGUGUUGUUCCGACCCCUCCGCGCUCACUGACUUCGAAUGCUAUGCAGAUUCGUACUCUCACCCCUCCCUUUCCCAUCUCCUCGAUCGUCGCAUUUCGUUCGAGGCUAUCCCUCUUUGGUAAGGGACGGAAAGUAAACGAUGCGAAAGUGGACGCAACAGCGGCUUGCCAAGCCGGAGAAGGACCGCUCGUGCGAACAGCGCACGAUUCAGCUCAAUGACCCGCAUGGCCGCACCAACUUCUGCGACAACCGCAUCUACAGCUCUCGGUACAACAUCUUCACUUUUCUGCCGCUGAACCUGUGGGAGCAGCUUCACCGCCCCAUCAACAUUUACUUUGUGAUGGUCGUGGCGCUGCAGUUCAUUCCCUCUGUGGCGCCAGUCAGCCCCCUCACGACCAUCUUCCCCAUCACCGUCGCAUUCCUCGUCAAUACCGUGAAGGAGGGCAUCGACGACCUGCGCCGCCAUCGGCAGGAUGUUGAGGUGAACGAGCGCAUGUACCAGCGCGUGCGGCCCGGCACACUAGAGUUGGAGGAUGUGAUGAGCGCCGACAUCCGUGUCGGCGACGUUCUCAUUCUGCAUCCCUUCGAGGUUGUCCCGAGUGAUGUGGUGAUUCUGCUGACUUCGCAGGACAGCGGCAGCGCGUACAUUACGACAGAGUCGCUUGACGGUGAGACCGGCUCGAAGCAGCGGUUUGCGAUCCUGCAUCAACUAUUCAAGUACUCUCAGGCCGCCGCCUCACCCGUGCCGUCUCGGCCGCACUGUUGCGGUCUGACCUUCGGGACGACAACAGCGCCUGACAGCGACGCAGCCGGCGUACACGCCUCGGCAGCAAAGACCAUGGGGAAGCUCACAGAUGCUCCGGUAUGGGACUUGCGGCGCUGCUGUGACACCGCCGAGGAUCACCAAUUGCACUGCCUCCAGUGCGCCUUUCGCUCUCGCCUGGUGCUGUACUCUGAGGGUCCGAAUGCGCAGCUGCACUCAUACCACGGAGCCGCCACGGUGCGUGCGCCGCGCAGCUCAUCGCAGACCUGGAGGGAGAGCCGGCCGUCGACAAGCAGCGCCUGCGGUGCUGCCGGUGAUGCGGUGAAAGCAGGGAGCGCGGCCCCAGAGUCGCUGCCUGGCUGUCGUUACGGGUCCUUCCCCGCUCCAGCGGUGCUGCCGAUAUCUGCGGACAUGGCACGCGCAGACGAGGCAGACAUGGGCGAGGCAUUUCCGCGCCAUCUUCCGAUGCCGGUGAUGGUGCCGCCCCCUCUCCGCCAGCGCGCGACCCGUACGCCAGAUUCAAUGGUCGUAGACUCUUUUCCAUCUAUCGUCGACGAGCGCAGCGGCCUUCUCGAGCCAGGUGGCCCGUCGCAGGCGAGCGCUCCGCCGCGCCAGUCCUCAUUGGAGGGGCAGACAGGCGCAUACGAUUACUUUGACGGCCCGGAGCAGACCCUCUCCGUUAACAUCGACAACGUCGUGUACUCGUCAAGCCGCAUCGGCAACACGCACUUCAUCAUCGCCCUUGUCAUCUUCACUGGCCGCGAGACGAAGAUGAGUAUGACGCGCAACGUGCUGCCGACUAAGUGGGCCACGAUCGACAACCGCUUCAACUACCUAACGAUGCUCAUCUUUUUGGUGCAAUUUAUCCUGGUUUCGACGUGCGCCUUUGUCUCCUGCCUGCGUCUCAAGGCCCACGCCCCGCUCUGGUACCUCGGCGCCUCGGUAGACCCGAUCAAGGUCAGCGAGUACUUCCCCAUCCUGCCGCUGCGUUACCUGAUGAUGCUGUCACCGAUGGUGCCCCUCUCCUUCAAGGUGAUGGUCGAGAUCUCAAAGGCGUACGUCAGCUACGCCAUCCGCUGGGAUGAAGACAUGCGCACCGAGGUGGAGUCCGUGUCGGUAAACAACUCAGCCCUGGCCGAAGAGCUGGGACAGGUUGAAUACGUCUUGUCUGACAAGACGGGCACACUCACCGCGAACACCAUGACCUUCCGUGCCUUGGCCACCGUCAACGACACCGUCUUCUCCGCAACCACCGAGGACUUCAUCGAGUCGGACCUGCACCGUCCCCUGGCUAAGGUGGGCAAAGCCAUCAAGGCAACGACGGCACGUGGACAGCACGAGGACUACUACCUCAUGCUCAGUAUGGUCUUCUGCAACACAAUCGAGCCAACGCUGUCGCCGCAGUUUAGCGCGAACGGCAGCGUGGCUUACGGUGCUCGCAGCACCCGCAGCAGUGGGGUCAGCACAAACGGUAACACGUCCUUCUCGAGACGCUGGAUGUCCUCAUCACCGGACGAGGUGGCCCUCGUUGAGGGUGCUGAGCAGUGCGGCUUCUCUUUGCGUCGGCGCAGCCGCACUCACGGAACGGUUGGGCUCUGGGGCGAGGCUGGAACGUCCCUGGAGGUGGAGGUGGUGCGCACGCUGCCCUUCAGCUCCGACCGCGGCAUGAUGAGCGUGCUGGUGUGCUGCCCCGCUGUGGCCGUGAAGGGCGCAGAGGCGGAGGCCAGCGACACCGCCGACGGGGGUAACACUUUUCCACCCAUGAACUAUGUGCUGCUGAUCAAGGGUGCUGACGAGAAGGUGCUGCCACGCUGCACCGACGCCUACAGCCGCUCUCACCUUGAGGACAUCAAGAACCGCCUCGCCGGCUUCUCGUGCGAAGGGCUGCGCACGCUCGUGUACGGAUACCGCAUCGUGGCGGAGGAGGAAGUCAAGGAGGCACUGUGCCGCUUCACCGCGGUAGAGGCAAGCUUCGCCUCCGCGGUAGCUCGCGAGGCGGAGCUGCAGCGCAUUUACGCCCUGCUGGAGCGCGACUUCACGUACUGCGGGAUCACCGCGGUGAAGGACGAGCUGCAGGAAGGGGUGCCGCAGACGCUCGCUCAGCUUCGCCAUGCCAAUAUACGGGUGUGGAUGCUGACGGGUGACAAGACAGAGACGGCAAAGCAAACGGCGGUCGCGUGCGGGCUGCUGACGUCGACCGACCGCGUUAUCACGCUCACGCCGCCCAACGAGGAUCUGCUGGCGCCGACGGAUCACCUGGCCUACGUUUCGGAGAAGCUCUCCGAAAUAAAGGGGAUCUUGGCGCAGGAGGGACCCGCGGUGGAGAUGACGAUGCUGACGCGCUGGCAGAGGGUGCGCGGGUGGUGCCGCCGCUUCUUCUGGGAACGCUCCGGCCUCGAAGAUUUUGUACACGAGUUCACGCAGCCGGCGACGUGCGAGUGCAUUCGCCCUGUUGACCACCCUCUCCUCACGCAGCCUCUGAGCACCAUUCAGGCUCGCUAUGGCCCAGUAAGUCCGUCAGUCACGGACAUGGUGCCAAGGGUGUGCGGUGCGGCGCGCCGGGAACCUGGCUUGCACUUCGCCUCCGCCUUUGGCGCUUGCUCUGACUUCGACAUGUGUGGUCUAAAGCGCGGCUACUGCGUUACGCUGUCUGGCAAGACCCUCCGACUGCUGGAGAGGGAGGAUGCCAUGUCGAAUGGCCAUAGCGCGGUGGUGCGCCUCUUCCAGCUGUGCCUGCUGCAGGCGCGCGCGGUUGUUUGUAGCCGCACCGCUCCCUCUCUCAAGUCGUACGUGGUGGACAUGGUGCGGCGCUCCGGCCACAUCACACUCGCGAUAGGGGACGGCGGCAACGACGUCCCCAUGCUGCAGGCGGCGCAUGUUGGCGUCGGCGUAAAAGGGCGGGAGGGCAGCCAGGCGAAGCUCGCGUCCGACUUUGCGAUCGGCCAGUUCCGCUUCUUGUCGAAGCUGAUUCUCGUGCACGGGCAUACCGCCUAUCAGCGCACAGCCAUGAUUGUGCAGCAGAGCUUCUGGAAGACGGUGCUCAUUGCGUGGGUGCAGGUGCUCUUCAACGUGUCCACUGAUUUUUCCGGCGUGUCCUACUGGGAUUCGCUUAGCCUCACCUUGUACAACGCCAUCCCCACCGUCCCCGUGACGUUUCUGUGCGUGAUGGACAUGCCCCUCUCGCACUGGCUCCUGUGCACGACAACGCGGCUCUACACCAUGUCCCAACGCGGCCGGUACUUCAACGCCACCACCUUCUACGGCUAUGUUGCUCGAGCGCUUCUGCACGGUACCAUGAUUUACUACUUGUCCGUCGCGCUUCAGCGCGGCACUGGGGCGAUCAUGACGAAUGGGUGGGUGCUCGACCGCAGCGGCGACUUUUACGCGCCGUACAUCGCUGUCGUGACGGUGCACACUUACACGGUGUGGACCGAGUCUCACGCCAUCACGAUUGCGCACUGGUUCUGCUUUCUCUUCUCGAUCUGGACGUGCUUCCUCAGCUUCUGGCUGUACGCGCGCGCACCGGCGUCGCCGAACGAGACCUUCUCGAUGCUCCUCAGGAGUCCAUCCUUCUACUUAUCGUACCUAGGUUUGCUCACCGCUGUGUGCGUCUCGCUCGCCAUCUAUGCUAUACCGAAGAUGUUAUGGUUCCCCGAUGCUCUGCAGCUGGAGCGGCUGCUGCUGGCGCAUGUGCGGCAGACGCGUGCGUGGCACCGCGGCUUGCCAGUCCGUGCCCUCCGCGCCUUCUUUCAGGAGGACAAUCCCUCACAGUUUUGGAAGUCCAUUUCGCUCUAUCACGCGCUGCGCUACUCCCCGCCUCCGCGGCAAACCUUCACUGUCGCGGCCGAUUAGGAAGCGGCGGCUUGGUUGAUAUCCGUGAUGAGACGGGGUUGCCGGCUGGCCUGUUCCUCCUCCUUGAGUGGGACAGAGAGCCGGGGAAAAGGAGAGAGACGCACACUCACUGGGCAGAGCUAAUGUGCAAGGGGCACUCGUCACCAAAGUCGAGCCGGGGAUGCCGUCGUCGGUCGCGCGCACACAGCUUUCGUCCCGUCCCGGUCGAUGCAGGGGUGGGGUUCAUGAGUGCGGGUAUCGGGUACUGGUCUCAUGGGGUCUCUGUUUCUCUUUCUGCUCUCUUGUGCGGCAGUCUUUGUGUCCCCUGCCCCACACCCCACCUGCCGAGAGAAAUAAACAGACAAGCACGUGCGGCUUCUUUGACAGGAGCGGAGACUGGGCCAUCGCGUCAUC
Molecule: unclassified non-coding RNA, 5460 nt
Filed under: Leishmania donovani
Lineage: Eukaryota; Euglenozoa; Kinetoplastea; Trypanosomatida; Trypanosomatidae
Description: gene:LdHU3.34.4040(CDS-product:phospholipid-trans porting_ATPase-like_protein)
Source: RNAcentral